UACGGAGGGGGCUAGCGUUGUUCGGAUUUACUGGGCGUAAAGGGCGCGUAGGCGGAUGCUCGCGUCAGAGGUGAAAGCCCCCGGGCUCAACCUGGGAACUGCCUUUGAAACGGGACAUCUUGAGUUCGGGAGAGGGUAGCGGAAUUCCCAGUGUAGAGGUGAAAUUCGUAGAUAUUGGGAAGAACACCGGUGGCGAAGGCGGCUACCUGGCCCGAUACUGACGCUGAGGCGCGAAAGCGUGGGGAGCAAACAGGAUUAGAUACCCGUGUAGUCCCUGAGCGGGCUGGCAA
This 290-nucleotide ribosomal RNA is filed under the name uncultured prokaryote. RNAcentral describes it as "partial 16S ribosomal RNA". It matches the Rfam family "Bacterial small subunit ribosomal RNA", at positions 524 to 815 of the family's 1533-position model. The record is from RNAcentral.